GGCCUCGUAGCUCAGUUGGCUAGAGCAUUGGAAGUUUUAAAUUUUUUCCCUUUCUGGCGAGGGUUCGAGUCCCGUCGAGGCUG
This 83-nucleotide transfer RNA is filed under the name Schistocephalus solidus. It matches the Rfam family "tRNA". Rfam says of the family: Transfer RNA (tRNA) molecules are approximately 80 nucleotides in length. Their secondary structure includes four short double-helical elements and three loops (D, anti-codon, and T loops). The record is from Rfam by way of RNAcentral. Lineage: Eukaryota; Metazoa; Platyhelminthes; Cestoda; Diphyllobothriidea; Diphyllobothriidae.